This 208-nucleotide microRNA precursor is filed under the name Oryza brachyantha (malo sina). RNAcentral describes it as "MIR812 microRNA precursor family". It matches the Rfam family "MIR812 microRNA precursor family". The record is from Rfam by way of RNAcentral. Lineage: Eukaryota; Viridiplantae; Streptophyta; Magnoliopsida; Poales; Poaceae.
AAUAAGAUCAUUUUUUAGUUGUUAGAUAUAACGUUUUGACUUUUCAUGUUAUUUAAAUUUUUUUGCGAUUAAUAUUUUUAUUGUUACUAGAUGAUAAAAUAUGAAUAAUACUUUAUGCAUGACUAAUUUUUUUAAGUUUUUAUACAAAUCUUUCAAAUAAGACGAAUGGUCAUAGCACUGGACACACAAAUCGAAAAAUGACGUUAUU